AUCUCUGUAGAGUCUGCAUAUCAAUAAGCGGAGGAAAAGAAACUAACAAGGAUUCCCCUAGUAACGGCGAGUGAAGCGGGAAGAGCUCAAAUUUGAAAUCUUCAAGGUUUGACCUUGACGAAUUGUAGUUUAAAGAAGUGUUUUCGGUUAGAGGAGUAGUAAAAGUUCUUUGGAAUAGGACAUCAUAGAGGGUGAGAAUCCCGUAUUUGACUAUUCUUUCUAGCUUUGUGAUACACUUUCAAAGAGUCGGAUUGUUUGGGAAUGCAGUCCAAAAUGGGUGGUAAAUUUCAUCUAAAGCUAAAUAUUGGCGAGAGACCGAUAGCGGACAAGUACCGUGAGGGAAAGAUGAAAAGAACUUUGAAAAGAGAGUUAAACAGUACGUGAAAUUGUCAAAAGGGAAGCGUUCGACACCAGUGUUGUUUUUCCGAAAAUCAAUUAAAAAUUGAUUCAUGCCAGGUUGUAUUGACCUUAUCAGCUUGCAAUUUGGUUUUGGGUCUCUUUUUGAUGCACUUUUCGGUUAACAAGUCAACAUCAAUUUCUUUUGUUGUAAAAGAGUAUUCGGAAGGUGGCUUUCUUUUCGGAGAAAGUGUUUAUAGCCCUAUACUUCUACAAUCGGAGAGAUUGAGGUCUGCAGCGUAGAUCCUUCGGGGUUAGAUACACUUGUGCUAAGUUAUAGCUUUUCAUAGACAACUUGUUGACUAUGUUUAGUCAUGCGGCUUACUCGCUUGUGCUAUUUUACCUACGCUUAGGAUGUUGACUGAUAUGUAGUCGUA
This 773-nucleotide ribosomal RNA is filed under the name uncultured Neocallimastigales. RNAcentral describes it as "partial large subunit ribosomal RNA". It matches the Rfam family "Eukaryotic large subunit ribosomal RNA", at positions 24 to 644 of the family's 3401-position model. The record is from RNAcentral. Lineage: Eukaryota; Fungi; Neocallimastigomycota; Neocallimastigomycetes; Neocallimastigales.